This 383-nucleotide ribosomal RNA is filed under the name uncultured bacterium. RNAcentral describes it as "bacterial SSU rRNA". It matches the Rfam family "Bacterial small subunit ribosomal RNA", at positions 29 to 412 of the family's 1533-position model. The record is from RNAcentral.
AUUGAACGCUGGCGGCAUGCUUUACACAUGCAAGUCGAACGGUAACAGGCCUUCGGGUGCUGACGAGUGGCGAACGGGUGAGUAAUGCAUCGGAACGUGCCCAAUCGUGGGGGAUAACGUAGCGAAAGUUACGCUAAUACCGCAUAAGCCCUGAGGGGGAAAGUGGGGGACCGCAAAGGCCUCACGCGAAUGGAGCGGCCGAUGUCAGAUUAGCUAGUUGGUGGGGUAAAGGCCCACCAAGGCGACGAUCUGUAGCGGGUCUGAGAGGAUGAUCCGCCACACUGGGACUGAGACACGGCCCAGACUCCUACGGGAGGCAGCAGUGGGGAAUUUUGGACAAUGGGCGGCAAGCCUGAUCCGAGCCAUGCCGCGUGCGGGACGAA